AGAACGAACGCUGGCGGCAGGCCUAACACAUGCAAGUCGAACGCCCCCCUUCGGGGGGAGUGGCGCACGGGUGAGUAACGCGUGGGAAUCUGCCCUUUGGUCUGGAAUAACCCUGGGAAACUAGGGCUAACACCGGAUAAGCCCGAGAGGGGAAAGUUUACGCCGAAGGAGGAGCCCGCGUCCGAUUAGCUAGGUUGGGGGGUAAAGCCCACCAAGGCGACGAUCCGUAGCUGGUCUGAGGGAUGUAGUACACGCACACUGGAACGUGAGACACGGUCCACGACUCUACGGGA
RNAcentral lists this ribosomal RNA (293 nucleotides) under uncultured soil bacterium. RNAcentral's name for it is "partial 16S ribosomal RNA". It matches the Rfam family "Bacterial small subunit ribosomal RNA", at positions 26 to 346 of the family's 1533-position model. The record is from RNAcentral.